Molecule: ribosomal RNA, 114 nt
Organism: Fukomys damarensis (Damara mole-rat)
Lineage: Eukaryota; Metazoa; Chordata; Mammalia; Rodentia; Bathyergidae
Source: Ensembl
GUCGACGGUCAUACCACCCUGUACACACCUGAUCUCCUCUGACGUUGGAAACUAAGCAGGGUCAGGUCUGGUUAGCAUUUGACUGGGAGAAUAUGAGAGCCUGAAACUGCUACU